UACAGAGGUGGCAAGCGUUGUUCGGAAUUACUGGGCGUAAAGAGCUCGUAGGCGGCUUGUCGCGUCGUCCGUGAAAACCCAUGGCUCAACUGUGGGCUUGCGGUCGAUACGGGCAGGCUGGAGUUCGGUAGGGGAGACUGGAAUUCCAGGUGUAGCGGUGAAAUGCGUAGAUAUCUGGAGGAACACCGGUGGCGAAGGCGGCAUCCUGGACCGGUAUUGACGCUGAGGCGCGAAAGCCAGGGGAGCAAACGGG
This 253-nucleotide ribosomal RNA is filed under the name uncultured bacterium. Its description in RNAcentral is "partial 16S ribosomal RNA". It matches the Rfam family "Bacterial small subunit ribosomal RNA", at positions 524 to 776 of the family's 1533-position model. The record is from RNAcentral.